AUUGAACGCUGGCGGCAGGCUUAACACAUGCAAGUCGAGCGGGGUGAUGGUGCUUGCACUAUCACUUAGCGGCGGACGGGUGAGUAAUGCUUAGGAAUCUGCCUAUUAGUGGGGGACAACAUCUCGAAAGGGAUGCUAAUACCGCAUACGUCCUACGGGAGAAAGCAGGGGAUCACUUGUGACCUUGCGCUAAUAGGUGAGCCUAAGUCGGAUUAGCUAGUUGGUGGGGUAAAGGCCUACCAAGGCGACGAUCUGUAGCGGGUCUGAGAGGAUGAGCCGCCACACUGGGACUGAGACACGGCCCAGACUCCUACGGGAGGCAGCAGUGGGGAAUAUUGGACAAUGGGGGGAACCCUGAUCCAGCCAUGCCGCGUGUGUGAAGAAGGCCUUAUGGUUGUAAAGCACUUUAAGCGAGGAGGAGGCUCUUUUGGUUAAUACCCAAGAUGAGUGGACGUUACUCGCAGAAUAAGCACCGGCUAACUCUGUGCCAGCAGCCGCCGUAA
RNAcentral lists this ribosomal RNA (503 nucleotides) under uncultured bacterium. Its description in RNAcentral is "partial 16S ribosomal RNA". It matches the Rfam family "Bacterial small subunit ribosomal RNA", at positions 30 to 523 of the family's 1533-position model. The record is from RNAcentral.